CUCCCUGUAGCUCAACGGAUAGAGCAGCGCCGUCCUAAGGCGAUGAUGGGGGUUCAAUUCCCUCCAGGGAGA
RNAcentral lists this transfer RNA (72 nucleotides) under bacterium. RNAcentral describes it as "tRNA-Arg". It matches the Rfam family "tRNA". Rfam says of the family: Transfer RNA (tRNA) molecules are approximately 80 nucleotides in length. Their secondary structure includes four short double-helical elements and three loops (D, anti-codon, and T loops). The record is from RNAcentral.